AACGAACGCUGGCGGCGCGUCUUAAGCAUGCAAGUCGAACGGCAAGAGAGGAGCUUGCUUCUCUCCUAGAGUGGCGGACUGGUGAGGAACACGUGGGUAAUCUACCCUUAAGAUGGGGAUAGCUGCUAGAAAUAGCAGGUAAUACCGAAUACACUCGGCAUAUCACAAGAGGUGUUGAGGAAAGGAAGCUACGGCUUCGCUUGAGGAUGAGCUUGCGUCCCAUUAGCUAGUUGGUGAGGUAAAGGCCCACCAAGGCGACGAUGGGUAUCCGGCCUGAGAGGGUGAACGGACACAUUGGGACUGAGAUACGGCCCAAACUCCUACGGGAGGCAGCAGCUAAGAAUAUUCCGCAAUGGACGGAAGUCUGACGGAGCGACGCCGCGUGGAUGAAGAAGGCUGAAAAGUUGUAAAAUCCUUUUGUUGAUGAAGAAUAAGGGUGAGAGGGAAUGCUCAUCUGAUGACGGUAAUCGACGAAUAAACCCCGGCUAAUUACGU
RNAcentral lists this ribosomal RNA (495 nucleotides) under uncultured bacterium. Its description in RNAcentral is "partial 16S ribosomal RNA". It matches the Rfam family "Bacterial small subunit ribosomal RNA", at positions 29 to 506 of the family's 1533-position model. The record is from RNAcentral.